RNAcentral lists this ribosomal RNA (253 nucleotides) under uncultured bacterium. Its description in RNAcentral is "partial 16S ribosomal RNA". It matches the Rfam family "Bacterial small subunit ribosomal RNA", at positions 524 to 776 of the family's 1533-position model. The record is from RNAcentral.
UACGGAGGGGGCUAGCGUUGUUCGGAAUUACUGGGCGUAAAGCGCACGUAGGCGGCUUUGUAAGUUAGAGGUGAAAGCCCGGGGCUCAACUCCGGAAUUGCCUUUAAGACUGCAUCGCUAGAACGUCGGAGAGGUAAGUGGAAUUCCGAGUGUAGAGGUGAAAUUUGUAGAUAUUCGGAAGAACACCAGUGGCGAAGGCGACUUACUGGACGACUGUUGACGCUGAGGUGCGAAAGCGUGGGAAGCAAACAGG